This 341-nucleotide ribosomal RNA is filed under the name Acanthamoeba sp. RNAcentral describes it as "SSU rRNA". It matches the Rfam family "Eukaryotic small subunit ribosomal RNA", at positions 838 to 1095 of the family's 1831-position model. Lineage: Eukaryota; Discosea; Longamoebia; Acanthamoebidae. The record is from RNAcentral.
GGUUUUGGCAGCGCGAGGACUAGGGUAAUGAUUAAUAGGGAUAGUUGGGGGCAUUAAUAUUUAAUUGUCAGAGGUGAAAUUCUUGGAUUUAUGAAAGAUUAACUUCUGCGAAAGCAUCUGCCAAGGAUGUUUUCAUUAAUCAAGAACGAAAGUUAGGGGAUCGAAGACGAUCAGAUACCGUCGUAGUCUUAACCAUAAACGAUGCCGACCAGCGAUUAGGAGACGUUGAAUACAAAACACCACCAUCGGUGCGGUCGUCCUUGGCGUCGGUCUUUCGGGGCCGGCGCGGGGACGGCUUAGCCCGGUGGCACCGGUGAAUGACUCCCUAGCAGCUUGUGAGA